RNAcentral lists this ribosomal RNA (253 nucleotides) under uncultured Lachnospiraceae bacterium. Its description in RNAcentral is "partial 16S ribosomal RNA". It matches the Rfam family "Bacterial small subunit ribosomal RNA", at positions 524 to 776 of the family's 1533-position model. Lineage: Bacteria; Bacillati; Bacillota; Clostridia; Lachnospirales; Lachnospiraceae. The record is from RNAcentral.
UACGUAGGGGGCGAGCGUUAUCCGGAAUUACUGGGUGUAAAGGGAGCGUAGACGGCGAGGUAAGCCUGAAGUGGAAGCCCGCGGCCCAACCUUGGGACUGCUUUUGAAACUGAGUAGCUAGAGUGCAGGAGAGGUAAGCGGAAUUCCUAGUGUAGCGGUGAAAUGCGUAGAUAUUAGGAGGAACACCAGUGGCGAAGGCGGCUUACUGGACUGUAACUGACGUUGAGGCUCGAAAGCGUGGGGAGCAAACAGG